This 467-nucleotide ribosomal RNA is filed under the name uncultured bacterium. RNAcentral describes it as "partial 16S ribosomal RNA". It matches the Rfam family "Bacterial small subunit ribosomal RNA", at positions 28 to 507 of the family's 1533-position model. The record is from RNAcentral.
GACGAACGCUGGCGGCGUGCUUAACACAUGCAAGUCGAACGGAAAGGCCCUGCUUUUGUGGGGUGCUCGAGUGGCGAACGGGUGAGUAACACGUGAGUACCUGCCCUUGACUUUGGGAUAACUUCACGAAACUGGGGCUAAUACCGGAUAGUAACUCCUGCUGCAUGGUGGGGGUUGGAAAGUUUCGGCGGUUGGGGAUGGACUCCCGGGUUAUCAGCUUGUUGGUGGGGUAGUGGCUUACCAAGGCUUUGACGGGUAGCCGGCCUGAGCGGGUGACCGGCCACAUUGGGACUGAGGUACGGCCCAGACUGCUACGGGAGGCAGCAGUGGGGAAUAUUGCACAAUGGGCGGAAGCCUGAUGCAGCAACGCCGCGUGCGGGAUGACGGCCUUCGGGUUGUAAACCGCUUUCGCCUGUGACGAAGCGUGAGUGACGGUAAUGGGUAAAGAAGCACCGGCUAACUACGUG